ACCUGUGCCAUGUCAGUGGGCCUUGCAAGUCGCGCUUGUCCGAACAAAGCCAACUCUGGAAACGCACGAGUGCGCUGUGCUGCUGCUUCUUCUCGCGAGAAGCAAGCAAGAAG
This 113-nucleotide ribosomal RNA is filed under the name Ascaltis sp. QMG317484. RNAcentral's name for it is "partial 28S ribosomal RNA". Lineage: Eukaryota; Metazoa; Porifera; Calcarea; Clathrinida; Leucascidae. RNAcentral also lists the same sequence under 1 other name. The record is from RNAcentral.